AAAGAACACUCUCUCAGUGAGACACUCUUCUGUCAGACUAUCAUGGAGCAGUCAGAAGUACUGGAAACUUCCUUAAUCACUCAUCUGUGUGUCUACACUGACCCAAUGGGUACUACUGGGAGAAUCUGAAAGAACGGCAUCAUGUGGAAUGGCCAAAAGAACAGUACGUCAGCCCGUCUAGAAGGAAAACAUUUUAAACAAAUAUUUCCCAACAACCUGCUGAGAUUCCUGCUGCAUGGUAAGUAAUACUGAACCACAUCAACUGGAUUUUGAAGGCAUCCUCUGCUGGCGACCUGUGCACAGCUGCAUCUCUAGAAUAGCUUCAUGUCCAAGGCGGUAAUAUCCGUCAGGUAUUAAACAUGCAAAGCUUGUGUGUUGCAUACCUCCCACCUGCUGCAAAGAUUAUUAACAACACCAGUGAACUACAUGUAAUGAAGAUUCACUUGCAUAAGAGAGAAGACUUACAUUCUAUCACAGCCUUGGACAGGGCCUAAUUACAGACCCCUGUAAACACAAGAUAGCUGAUGAGUGAAAGUUUAGGACAAAAGACAAGACUCAACUUCUAUAAUUUAUGAAAUAGGGCUGGGAAGCCAU
RNAcentral lists this long non-coding RNA (594 nucleotides) under Vulpes vulpes (red fox). RNAcentral describes it as "lncRNA (ENSVVUG00000022213.1)". The record is from RNAcentral. Lineage: Eukaryota; Metazoa; Chordata; Mammalia; Carnivora; Canidae.